AGUGAACGCUGGCGGUAGGCCUAACACAUGCAAGUCGAACGGCAGCACAGGAGAGCUUGCUCUCUGGGUGGCGAGUGGCGGACGGGUGAGGAAUACAUCGGAAUCUACUUUUUCGUGGGGGAUAACGUAGGGAAACUUACGCUAAUACCGCAUACGACCUACGGGUGAAAGCAGGGGACCCUCGGGCCUUGCGCGAUUGAAUGAGCCGAUGUCGGAUUAGCUAGUUGGCGGGGUAAAGGCACACCAAGGCGACGAUCCGUAGCUGGUCUGAGAGGAUGAUCAGCAACACUGGAACUGAGACACGGUCCAGACUCCUACGGGAGGCAGCAGUGGGGAAUAUUGGACAAUGGGCGCAAGCCUGAUCCAGCCAUACCGCGUGGGUGAAGAAGGCCUUCGGGUUGUAAAGCCCUUUUGUUGGGAAAGAAAUCCAGCUGGCUAAUACCCGGUUGGGAUGACGGUACCCAAAGAAUAAGCACCGGCUAACUUCGUGCCAGCAGCCGCCGUAA
This 506-nucleotide ribosomal RNA is filed under the name uncultured bacterium. RNAcentral describes it as "partial 16S ribosomal RNA". It matches the Rfam family "Bacterial small subunit ribosomal RNA", at positions 29 to 523 of the family's 1533-position model. The record is from RNAcentral.